Oryza glumipatula is the source of this 204-nucleotide non-coding RNA. The record is from Rfam. Lineage: Eukaryota; Viridiplantae; Streptophyta; Magnoliopsida; Poales; Poaceae.
AAAAAAAACAAACUCUGGUUUACAUGUCCAACGUUAACCGUUCGUCUUAUUUAAAAAAAUUAUAAAAAAAAUUAAAAAGAUAAAUCACGUAUAAAGUAUUAAUCAUAUUUUAUUAUCUAACAACAAUAAAAAUACUAAUUAUAAAAAAAUUUCAUAUAAGACGGAUAGUCAAACGUUAGACACGGAAACGAGGAUUUGUUUUUU